RNAcentral lists this ribosomal RNA (440 nucleotides) under uncultured bacterium. Its description in RNAcentral is "partial 16S ribosomal RNA". It matches the Rfam family "Bacterial small subunit ribosomal RNA", at positions 338 to 795 of the family's 1533-position model. The record is from RNAcentral.
CCUACGGGAGGCAGCAGUGAGGAAUAUUGGGCAAUGGGGGCACCCCUGACCCAGCCAUGCCGCGUGAGUGAAGAAGGUCUUCGGAUUGUAAAGCUCUUUCGGACGUGACGAUGAUGACGGUAGCGUCUAAAGAAGCACAGGCGAACUUCGUGCCAGCAGCCGCGGUAAUACGAAGGGUGCGAGCGUUGUUCGGCAUUACUGGGCGAAAGGGUCGAGUAGGCGGAGAUGUAAGAGAGCGGUGAAAUGACGGGGGUCAACCCCGGAACUGCCAUUAUGACUAUGUAUCUAGAGUAAUGGAGAGGAUAGCGGAAUACCCAGUGUAGAGGUGAAAUUCGUAGAUAUUGGGUAGAACACCGGUGGCGAAGGCGGCUAUCUGGCCAUUUACUGACGCUGAGGCUCGAAAGCAUGGGGAUCAAACAGGAUUAGAUACCCGGGUAGUC